GACGAACGCUGGCGGCGUGCUUAACACAUGCAAGUCGAACGGUAAGGCCCUUCGGGGUACACGAGUGGCGAACGGGUGCGUAACGCGUGAGUAACCUGCCCUUCACUCUGGGAUAACAGUUGGAACCGGCUGCUAAUACCGGAUAUUCAGCUCCUGUCGCAUGGUGGGGGUUGGAAAGUUUUGGUGGUGGAGGAUGGGCUCGCGUCCUAUCAGCUUGUUGGUGGGGUGAUGGCCUACCAAGGCGUCGACGGGUAGCCGGCCUGAGAGGGCGACCGGCCACAUUGGGACUGAGAUACGGCCCAAACUCCUACGGGAGGCAGCAGUGGGGAAUAUUGCACAAUGGGCAGAAGCCUGAUGCAGCAACGCCGCGUGCGGGAUGACGGCCUUCGGGUUGUAAACCGCUUUCAGCAGGGACGAAGCGCAAGUGACGGUACCUGCAGAAGAAGCACCGGCUAACUACGUG
RNAcentral lists this ribosomal RNA (463 nucleotides) under uncultured bacterium. RNAcentral describes it as "partial 16S ribosomal RNA". It matches the Rfam family "Bacterial small subunit ribosomal RNA", at positions 28 to 507 of the family's 1533-position model. The record is from RNAcentral.